UCGGCUCAACUUUGGCUCGGCUUGGCUCGCGGCUGAUGACAUGGCCGGUGGGUCCCACUAUGCUGACAUGGCUGUUGACUAGUCAAUGGCUUGCUGACUGUGUAUGCUGAUGUCAUCCUUGCAUCAUGCUGAUGUCAUCCUUUUGCAUGUCACUGUUCAUGAUAGCGUCACUGUUCAUGCCUACUGUUCACAUGGGUCGGGUCAACUGGUAUUCGGGUCGGG
RNAcentral lists this long non-coding RNA (222 nucleotides) under Populus tremula. RNAcentral describes it as "long non-coding RNA (PTRE_LNC003446)". The record is from RNAcentral. Lineage: Eukaryota; Viridiplantae; Streptophyta; Magnoliopsida; Malpighiales; Salicaceae.